UCGGUUUUAGAAAAUUUAAAAUUUUGUAUCCUUCAGAAUCAUUCUUCGUCCUGUGUUUGUUUUAGUACUGGACGGAGAACUGAUUCUGGUUGAUAUAAUUAAUAUGCUACACUUCAGGAUUAGUUCAAAAGAUGAUUUUCAACUGCAUAGCAGAGCCCGGGGCUGAAAUUAAAGGAACUUUUCAUUCUGAAAAGCUUUUGGAAACCAAAUACCCGGAUGUAUAAAUUGUUCAUCGUAUAAUAAUAUGAUUGUUAUUUAUGUUUUUAUUUAGAUACUUUUUUUUUGUUUGUGAGUUUUAUUAUGAUUUUCUUUUUUGUUUUUCCUCUUAUUAUUGGCACCAACAAUGUUGAUCCAAACAAUCCACUCCCCCUCCUAAUUCUGAAGUCAUAAUGAACUUUCAAAAAAAAAACAAACGGCGAGCAAAAACCGUAAAUUGUUUGUCGGAUAAUAAUAUGUUUGUUAUUUAUGUUUUUAUUCAGAUACUUUUUUUUUGUUUGUGAGUUUUAUUAUGACUUUUUUGUUUUGUGUUUCCUCUUAUUUUUGGCACCAACAAUGUCGUUCCAACUUAUGAUCAAAGACGAAGGCAUGGAUGUUGAUGAAUAAUCAUUUCCUAUCGAAUCAAUCUGCUCAUCUCAUUUCAUUUUAUUGUGUUUUUUCGAUUUCAAUUUUCAAACCAGUUAUGCGCCGUCAAAGAGUAAGUACAAUUAAGUACACACUGCAGUGUUUAAAUUUAAUGCUAGACGUAAUAAAAUAUCUCACUAUUUGUUUUUUUUUUACCACAACGUCCAGCUUCCUGGAAUCAGGCCCACGGUGGCCGGCAUGCAGCGGCUCCCAGGCCUGCUAUAAUGCCAGCGGCGAUGACCUUCCAUAUAAUCUACAGGGAAGAAAACAUUCCCCGCGCUAACAGAUUCUACUUACAAUUAAAUAACUUGAUCGAACGCAUGCUUAAUUGCUUAAGCUUAACACGUUUUGAAAUGCGCCUGGCAUAAAAGGGAUGCUUAUGGUAGAGUUUUAGAUGGAUACUCGAAUUCAUUAAAUCAGGCCCUGGCACUAGAGCAUGAUUUCGAGAACCCACCGCAGCCUUAGAAUUAACUAAUAACUAAACUCGAAGCAUCGUUCGCUGCUAAUUAAGCAACGCUAUCCUUCUUAACUCGGGUUGUUAUUAUAACGAGCAAAACGUACUUAUGAUAAUAGGAAUAUUCGACGCAAGUAGUAAGCCCGCCACCUCAGGCCCAUAUUGCAUAGCCUGCCCCUGCAAGUUUUUUUUUAAUCAACAGGGUUAACCGUUAUUCGGUUGUUAGACAAAUGUGUACAAAACGAUGAGCAGCAGUUCCAACAUUUCAACUUAGAAGAAGUAUUAAUGUUAGAAGAAGAAGAAGAAGUAAAAGAAGAAGUAGAACAGAAAAUAAAUACCCUGGUUGAAACAAUUGAUCUGACAAAUACCGAUGAUGAGGAUGAGGAUGUACUAUGAUUCGAUUUCAAUACUUUUUUUUCGUAUUUUAUUAAUUAUAUGUGCUUUUUUUU
Molecule: long non-coding RNA, 1524 nt
Organism: Planococcus citri (citrus mealybug)
Lineage: Eukaryota; Metazoa; Arthropoda; Insecta; Hemiptera; Pseudococcidae
Exons: 3
Source: RefSeq, a predicted model, not a curated record